ACUAAAUAGAUACCCGGGUAGUCCUGGCCCUAAACGAUGUCUACUAGGUCGGAGUCACUCUGACGUGUUUCUGGCCGUAAAUGAAAAAACUUUAAAGUAGACCGCCUGGGGAGUACGGUCGCAAGGCUAAAACUCAAAGGAAUUGACGGGGGCUCACACAAGCGGUGGAGCAUGUUGCUUAAUUCGAUGCAACGCGCAGAACCUUAUCCUGGGCUUGACAUGUACGAGCCUCUACCUGGAAACAGGAUAGAGUUUCCCUUCGGGGUGUAAGCGUACACAGGUGCUGCAUGGCUGUCGUCAGCUCGUGUCGUGAGAUGUCGGGUUAAGUCCCAUAACGAGCGAAACCCUUGUCGCUAGUUGCCAGCGGGUAAUGCCGGGGACUCUAGCGAGACUGCCGGUGUCAAACCGGAGGAAGGCGGGGAUGACGUCAAGUCCUCAUGGCCUUUAUGCCCAGGGCUGCAAACGUGCUACAAUGGCAGAUACAAACCGAAGCAAGACUGCAAAGUCAAGC
RNAcentral lists this ribosomal RNA (511 nucleotides) under uncultured bacterium. RNAcentral's name for it is "bacterial SSU rRNA". It matches the Rfam family "Bacterial small subunit ribosomal RNA", at positions 772 to 1268 of the family's 1533-position model. The record is from RNAcentral.